UGGACAACAGGUAGAGAUUCCUGUACCAGUGCUAAUUGUUUAACCGAUGGGGUGACACAGAAGGAUAGGGAAUCGCACGAAUGGAAAUGUGCGUCCAAGCAGUGAGUGUGAGAAGUAGGCAAAUCCGCUUCUCGCGAAGCAUGAGCUGUGAUGGGGAAGGAAAUUAAGUACGGAAGUUCCUGAUUUCACGCUGUCAAGAAAAGCCUCUAGGAAGAGUAGUACUGCCCGUACCGCAAACCGACACAGGUAGAUGAGGAGAGAAUCCUAAGGUGAGCGAGAGAACUCUCGUUAAGGAACUCGGCAAAAUGACCCCGUAACUUCGGGAGAAGGGGUGCUCUAUUAGGGUGCAAGCCCGAGAGAGCCGCAGUGAAUAGGCCCAGGCGACUGUUUAGCAAAAACACAGGUCUCUGCAAAACCGUAAGGUGACGUAUAGGGGCUGACGCCUGCCCGGUGCUGGAAGGUUAAGAGGAGUGCUUAGCUUCGGCGAAGGUACGAAUUGAAGCCCCAGUAAACGGCGGCCGUAACUAUAACGGUCCUAAGGUAGCGAAAUUCCUUGUCGGGUAAGUUCCGACCCGCACGAAAGGCGCAACGAUCUGGGCACUGUCUCAACGAGAGACUCGGUGAAAUUAUAGUACCUGUGAAGAUGCAGGUUACCCGCGACAGGACGGAAAGACCCCGUGGAGCUUUACUGCAACCUGAUAUGGAAUGUUUGUACCGCUUGUACAGGAUAGGUAGGAGCCGAAGAGACGUGUGCGCUAGCAUACGAGGAGGCAAUGGUGGGAUACUACCCUGGCUGUAUGACCAUUCUAACCCGCCACGCUUAGCGCGUGGGGAGACAGUGUCAGGUGGGCAGUUUGACUGGGGCGGUCGCCUCCUAAAGAGUAACGGAGGCGCCCAAAGGUUCCCUCAGAAUGGAUGGAAAUCAUUCGCAGAGUGUAAAGGCACAAGGGAGCUUGACUGCGAGACUGACAAGUCGAGCAGGGACGAAAGUCGGGCUUAGUGAUCCGGUGGUUCCGCAUGGAAGGGCCAUCGCUCAACGGAUAAAAGCUACCCCGGGGAUAACAGGCUUAUCUCCCCCAAGAGUCCACAUCGACGGGGAGGUUUGGCACCUCGAUGUCGGCUCGUCGCAUCCUGGGGCUGUAGUCGGUCCCAAGGGUUGGGCUGUUCGCCCAUUAAAGCGGCACGCGAGCUGGGUUCAGAACGUCGUGAGACAGUUC
RNAcentral lists this ribosomal RNA (1217 nucleotides) under Listeria monocytogenes. RNAcentral describes it as "partial 23S ribosomal RNA". It matches the Rfam family "Bacterial large subunit ribosomal RNA", at positions 1419 to 2632 of the family's 2925-position model. The record is from RNAcentral. Lineage: Bacteria; Bacillati; Bacillota; Bacilli; Caryophanales; Listeriaceae.